UUAGCGUUAACCAGAAUCCUUUUCUAGUCCCGUCGUCUAAGCCAAUGGCUGAGUGGCGGGGCGGGUGUAAGGUGACUGACCUCACCCUAGGCAAAUGACAAUGAAGGAAAUGGAGGUGCCCCGUUUUGGUGGGAGCUAGAGGAAGCGCCGCUGCAUUGGGGCGGAGCCAGCCACCAGACGCCGGGAGGGGAUUAGCCGGAACCGGAUUGAAUGGCAGCCGACGUGGGCAUUGGCCACCGGCUGCAGGAAUUCAGGCCUGACGUCUGGGUUAGAGUCCCCGGAGGCCGGCCGGGGAUCUAGGGUCUUUACUUCUCUUCCAGAAGGCAUGGAACCGGCUCUCCUACCAACUCAAGGGUCUAGAUUUCCUCCCAGGACCGAGGGAUCCUAGGCUCUUAAUUCGACACCCUACAUCAGCUUCACAUAAGGUCCUUGGAUCCGAGCUCCAAUCGCUUCUCGGCCUUUUGGCUAAGAUCAAGUGAAUCCGAGCUCCAAGCUCUUAUCUAGGCCCUCAGUUUAUUUUCUGGACCCAGGCAACUUCCAGACUUCCAAUUCCCGUUCAAGACUAAGAGGCCCAAGCUACUCCCGCCCCACCCCCCACCCCCCACAGGACCCAGGUAUCCAGAUGCCCAGCUGCCCUCCUGAACCCAGAUAUUCCAGACACGGCCAGCAGAAGCCAUCUGUUUAUUCCUCAUUGUUUCCACAUUCACCCUUUUGCCAUGGAAUCAGGACAAGUCGCAGCAAGCCAAACUGGAGUCCAGACUAGUCCCAGGCUGCACCCAGGAGAGGAGGCACCAGGAAUUUUCUGACCCAGCAACCAGCCUGCUUCUCCUGACAAAUCUGCCCUCGGUCCCAAGCCUGGAAGGCCCUUUGGGGCCAGGGGACACUGGAUCUUCCCCUCCAUUUCUGCCCAGGUAGCCCAAGGAAAAGAACACACUUGUGUAAUUAGAAAAACAUACAGGACAAAUUAGGAGGGCUCUGGAAUGUGGACUUGCCCCUGCACCCACUUUACAGAUGUGGAACCUGAGGCUCAUGGAGUCAUUUCCUGGUCUCCGUGAAUGAUGGAUGACAACCCAUAUGUCUUCCCUGGCUGGGCCAGGCGGUCAUUGCAGCAAGAGGGACUAACAGUGGAACCUACCACUCCAAGUUGGGGCUUCUCCUGGCCUUGGACUUGGCUGCUGAACUUUUCACCCCAAUCUGGAGGGCCCACAUUUGGGGAUGAUGAGAAGCAGAACAGAUGUUCUCAAGGACCAACUCUGCGCCAUCUAGGCCUGCAACAGCCCUCCCGCUCCAAUCACAUUCCCUACGCGGCCACUGAAGCACAAUAUCUAGCCGUGCUGUCAUCCCGCCCGUGCGCCUCCUUUCUCGGUUCCACUCAGCCUGGGAAACGGAAGAUCAACGCGCCGGGCUGCUGCAAAGUCGGUUUCCUAUUGGCCAGAGCCGCAAGAGCUGUGCCCGCCCGUCCCGCCUCUCCCACCCACCUAGGCGGGGCUUCCCCACUGACCCAGGGCAGCCUUCUGCCCCGCGGCCCCUGGCUCUCCAGGAAGUCUUAAAGGGGCCCCGACCUGAUCCGGACACCGAGAAAAUUGCUUUCUCCCGACCUGCCUGGGGAGGAGUCCCAGGCGCGGCUGGGGAUAAAGGCCGCGUAACUGGAGGCGGGGCCCCAGUCUGUCGCGCUCCGUGCACCUGCCGAAGGUCCCUCCCACUAGUUUCGGGCGCAGUUUCUCGAUUCAACAUUAGGGGGAGGGGCGCCCGGGCCUUUUGACAGCGAAUAAUAAUAAUAGCUGACGUUGAUUCAUUGCGUUGCACAAGCCUGGUCUUUUACUCACCUCUCGCGUCGUCGUCUCUAAAACCCUAAA
Cervus elaphus (red deer) is the source of this 1856-nucleotide long non-coding RNA. RefSeq lists it as uncharacterized. The transcript is spliced from 5 exons. Lineage: Eukaryota; Metazoa; Chordata; Mammalia; Artiodactyla; Cervidae. The record is from RefSeq and is a predicted model, not a curated record.